Molecule: non-coding RNA, 86 nt
Organism: Atractiella rhizophila
Lineage: Eukaryota; Fungi; Basidiomycota; Atractiellomycetes; Atractiellales; Hoehnelomycetaceae
Source: the annotation of a GenBank genome assembly
GCCCCAAUGGCCCAGUGGUUAAGGCGCCGCUCUUGUACCACAUUCGAGCAAAGCGGAGACCGGGUGUUCGACUCACCCUUGGGGCA